Molecule: ribosomal RNA, 419 nt
Filed under: Firmicutes bacterium SCGC AAA487-G07
Lineage: Bacteria; Bacillati; Bacillota
Description: bacterial SSU rRNA
Rfam family: Bacterial small subunit ribosomal RNA
Source: RNAcentral
GUCCUAUGGGAUGCAGCAGUGGGGAAUAUUGCACAAUGGGGGAAACCCUGAUGCAGCGACGCCGCGUGAGCGAUGAAGGCUUUCGAGUCGUAAAGCUCUGUCCUAUGGGAAGAUAAUGACGGUACCAUAGAAGAAAGCCCCGGCUAAUUACGUGCCAGCAGCCGCGGUAAUACGUAAGGGGCGAGCGUUGUCCGGAAUUAUUGGGCGUAAAGAGUGCGUAGGCGGCAAAUUAAGUCAGAUGUGAAAACUAAGGGCUCAACCCAUAGAUUGCAUCUGAAACUGAUAUGCUUGAGUCAAGGAGAGGAAAGUGGAAUUCCUAGUGUAGCGGUGGAAUGCGUAGAUAUUAGGAGGAAUACCGGUGGCGAAGGCGACUUUCUGGACUUGAACUGACGCUGAGGCACGAAAGCGUGGGGAGCAAA